GGGGGCGUGUUGUAAUUGGCAGCCUGUUGAUUUACCAAGUCAUCGGAGCGGGUUCAAACCCCGUCGUCUCCACCA
Molecule: transfer RNA, 75 nt
Filed under: uncultured Actinomycetes bacterium
Lineage: Bacteria; Bacillati; Actinomycetota; Actinomycetes
Also listed under: 1 other name
Description: uncultured actinobacterium tRNA-Gly
Rfam family: tRNA
About the family: Transfer RNA (tRNA) molecules are approximately 80 nucleotides in length.
Source: RNAcentral